Molecule: ribosomal RNA, 205 nt
Filed under: uncultured bacterium
Lineage: Bacteria
Description: partial 16S ribosomal RNA
Rfam family: Bacterial small subunit ribosomal RNA
Source: RNAcentral
UGCGCAGGCGGUUUUGUAAGACAGUGGUGAAAUCCCCGGGCUCAACCUGGGAACUGCCAUUGUGACUGCAAGGCUAGAGUGCGGCAGAGGGGGAUGGAAUUCCGCGUGUAGCAGUGAAAUGCGUAGAUAUGCGGAGGAACACCGAUGGCGAAGGCAAUCCCCUGGGCCUGCACUGACGCUCAUGCACGAAAGCUGGGAGCAAACA